Molecule: microRNA precursor, 61 nt
Organism: Oryctolagus cuniculus (rabbit)
Lineage: Eukaryota; Metazoa; Chordata; Mammalia; Lagomorpha; Leporidae
Gene: ocu-mir-505
Product: ocu-mir-505
Source: Ensembl
GGGGAGCCAGGAAGUAUUGAUGUUUCUGCCAGUUUAGCGUCAACACUUGCUGGUUUCCUCU